UACGAGGGGGGCGAGCGUUGUUCGGAAUUAUUGGGCGUAAAGGGUGCGUAGGCGGUUUGGUAAGUCUGAUGUGAAAUCUAUGGGCUCAACUCAUAGUCUGCAUCGGAAACUGCCGGGCUUGAGUGUGGGAGAGGUGAGUGGAAUUCCUGGUGUAGCGGUGAAAUGCGUAGAGAUCGGAAAGAACACCAACGGCGAAAGCACUCUGCUGGGCCGACACUGACACUGAGAGACGAAAGCUAGGGGAGCGAACGGG
This 253-nucleotide ribosomal RNA is filed under the name uncultured bacterium. RNAcentral's name for it is "partial 16S ribosomal RNA". It matches the Rfam family "Bacterial small subunit ribosomal RNA", at positions 524 to 776 of the family's 1533-position model. The record is from RNAcentral.